Humulus lupulus (European hop) is the source of this 5912-nucleotide RNA transcript. RefSeq lists it as uncharacterized. NCBI's taxonomy places the organism in Eukaryota, Viridiplantae, Streptophyta, Magnoliopsida, Rosales, Cannabaceae. The record is from RefSeq and is a predicted model, not a curated record. The transcript has 2 exons.
GCUUUUCUAUUUGUUUUAGUGUGAAUAUUAGCUGUGUAAUAGUAUGCAUAUUAGCUGUUUAUUAGUUGACAAUUAGGAUUAAUUAGUUGAUUUAGUUUCCUAGAAUAACUUCUCUAGUUGUGUAUAAAUAGAUGUUAUAUUUUCAAUACAAUAAACAAUUCUCUUCACAUAUCAUUACAUGGUAUCAGAGCAGAGCCAGGUUCUGGGUUUGAGAUUUGAAAUUCGAAAUUAGAGUUCAUCACAAAUUGGGGUUUGCAAUUAGGGUUUAAUUUUCUUUCAUUUUUAGGGUUCCUAUUUCGGAAACCCUAUUUAGAGUGUUCUUUUGUUCUCACCACCGGCACAGAAGGACUGCCCAGCCGCCGACCAACCAGAUCCUGCCGUCCGAGGUCCAAAUCCCGUAGCCCGCUGCCCAGUCCCCCACGCGCCGGCGCGUGCGCUGUUCAGCCGCCGUGCUUUCGACUCUGGUUGGUCCCCACGUCCUUCUUGACACUUUUCUGCCUAGUUUGUGUUCUUCUCCGAUCAUUUUCAUAUCUGUUUUUGUUCAAUUCUUGUGUUUAGAAAGUUCCUUUUCUUGGCUUUAUUUACUUGUUUUCUCCAUAUUUUCUUUUGAGGUUAUGGCUGAGACAAAAUCCGUGGUAUCUGAUGUGGUUCCUGUUAUGUCUAAAAUCACGGACCAUAAACUGAAUGGUUCAAAUUAUUUGGACUGGAGUAAGACUAUUCGGCUUUAUUUACGAAGUAUCAACAAAGAUGACCAUUUGACUGAUGAUCCUCCUAAAGACAAAGGUAAUUCGAGACAGACAUGGCUCAGGGAGGAUGCAUUCUUAUUCCUUCAGAUUCGAAAUUCCAUUGAUAGUGAGUUAAUUGGCUUGAUCAAUCAUUGUCAGUUUGUUAAAGAACUAAUGAAUUAUUUGGAAUUUUUGUAUUCGGGAAAAGGGAAUCUCUCUCGUAUGUAUGAGGUUUGCAAAGCAUUUUACCGUGUGGAAAAACAAGAUCAGUCACUUAUAAACUACUUUAUGGCAUUUAAAAAGACGUAUGAGGAGCUUAAUAUGUUGCUGCCAUUUGGUACCGACGUGAAGGUUCAACAAAAACAACGAGAGCAAAUGGCUAUUAUGAGCUUUCUAGCUGGGCUCUCCUCUGAGUUUGAUUCUGCUAAGGCACAAGUUUUUUCUGGGACUGAUAUAUCCUCCUUACAAGAUGUCUUUAGUCGUGUCCUCCGCACGGAAAUAACACCACCUGUUUCGCUUAAUGGUGCCUUGGUAAUUCGCAAUAAUAAUUAUGCGCCUGAGAGAUCCUCUAAUCCAAGUGGAAACAAAGGAGGUAGUUCACAAGGAUUUGACACUCGAACGUUGGAUUCUGGAGGCAUUAUUUGCAACUAUCGUAAAAACCGAGCCACACCAAGUUUGAGUGUAGAAAGUUACAGUUUAAAAACCAGCAUAAACACUCAGCUAAUGUUGCAUCUAAUAGUGAUACCUCUGACAAAUCAAUCCUUAUCUCUGCUAAUGAGUUUGCCAAGUUCUCCAAGUAUCAGGAAUCACUUAAGUCUUCAUCUCUUUCUAUCACUACUAUUGCUGAUUCAGGUAAAACUAAUGUGUGCCUUCUUUCCUUAUCCUCAAAAUGGGUCAUUGAUUCUGGUGCUACAAAUCAUAUGACAGGUAAUUCUAGUCUCUUCAUUUCAGUCUUCUGCUUCUACUUCUACAGUUACUUUAGCCGAUGGGUCACCAUCGUGUGUUCGUGGGUCUGGCAGCAUCACUCCUACCCCUUUGUUGUCUUUGUCUUCUGUCUUACAUUUACCUCAUUUAUCCUUUAAUUUACUCUCUGUCAGUCAACUCACUCGUAAUCUCAAUUGUUGUGUUUCAUUUUUUCCUGAUCAUUGCUUAUUUCAAGAUCUUAUGACUAAGAAGAUUAUUGGUAAAGUUUAUGAAUCUGGAGGCCUCUACACUCUUGAUACAUCGCCACCCAGCUCUAUUGCUUGCUCGAGUGUUCCUUCUCCUUUCGAGGCUCAUUGUCGAUUGGGUCAUCCAUCUCUCCCUUUACUAAAGAAGCUUUGUCCUCAAUAUAGUACAGUGUCUUCCUUAAAUUGAGAGUUGUGUCAGUUUGCAAAACAUCAUCGUCUUAGUUCGAGUCCUAAAGUCAAUAAAUGUGCUAGUGUUCCUUUUGAAUUAGUUCAUUCUGAUGUUUGGGGUCCUCCUAUUUUGUCUAAACCUGGAUUUCGGUAUUUUGUUACAUUUGUAGAUGAUUAUUCUCGUGUAACUUGGUUAUUUUUAAUGAAAAGUCGUUCAGAGCUAUUUUCCCUGUUUUGUGCGUUUUGUGCUGAAAUUAAAACUCAGUUUAAUGUUUCAAUUCAUACUUUGCGAAGUGAUAACGCCAAAGAAUAUACAUCUGCUUUAUUUCAAUCUUAUAUGACUCAGAAUGGCAUACUUCAUGAAACUUCCUAUGUUGAUACCCCAUCCCAAAAUGGUGUGGCGAAACGUAAAAACAGACACCUUCUUGAAAUUGCACAAGCUCUCUUAUUUCAAAUGCAUGUUCCUAAACCGUUUUGGGCUGAUGCAGUUUCCACAGCAUGUUUUCUCAUUAAUCGAAUACCGUCCUCUGUUCAUCAAGGUGAGAUACCUUACAAAAUUCUUUUUUCGCAAAAGUCUUUGUUCCCUGUUGACCCUAAGAUAUUUGGUAGCACUUGUUUUGUUCGGGAUGUUCGUCCGCAUGUCACUAAAUUAGAUCCAAGUCUUUGAAAUGUAUUUUCCUUGGUUAUUCCCGUCUUCAGAAAGGCUACUGGUGUUAUUGUCCCAGUCUUAACAAAUAUUUGGUCUCCAUUGAUGUCACUUUCCUCGAAGAUACACCUUAUUUCCCUUCUCUGCCUGUUCCCACUCGUCAGGGGGAGGACGAUGAUUUGUUGGUCUAUUCUAUCACAUCUUCUCUUAACUUGGACCUAUCACCGAUCUCGCAACCUGUUCUUGUGAAGCCUAUUAUUCUUCAAGUUUACUCCAGGUGACAUCCUCUUGAUUCAUGUCCUGCACCUGCUCCUUCGUCAUCAGAUCCGGACCCGAGCGAUGAUCUUCCAAUUGCAUUACGCAAAGGUAAACGUCAGUGUACUUAUCCCAUUUCUUCUUUUGUUUCUUAUAAUAACUUGUCGUCUUCCUCUCGCUCUUUCAUUGCUUCCCUUGAUUCUAUUUCUAUUCCUAAGACUGUUCGUGAAGCCAUAUCUCAUCUUGGUUGGCAUACUGCAAUGCUAGAGGAGAUGAAUGCUUUAGAUGAUAAUGGUACUUGGGACUGGGUCGAUUUACCUUCAGGGAAAUAGGCUAUUGGUUGCAAAUGGGUCUUCACGGUUAAGGCCAAUCCAGAUGGGUUAGUUGCUCUAUUGAAAGCUUGUCUUGUCGCCAAGGGCUAUGCUCAAACUUAUGGAGUAGAUUAUUCUUAAACUUUCUCUCCUGUUGCAAAGUUGACAUCUGCUCAGCUUAUUUCAAUGGCAGCUACUCAUCAUUGGCCUUUACAUUAACUUGAUAUCAAGAAUGUUUUUCUUCAUGGUGAUCUUCAGGAGGAGGUGUAUAUGGAGCAACCUCCUGGGUUUGUUGCUCAGGGGAAGUCACGACGAGUUUUCGUCUUCGAAAAUCUUUAUAUGGUUUGAAACAAAAUCCUCGUGCUUGGUUUGGAAAGUUUAGUCAAGCUAUUGAGAAACUUGGUAUGAUGAAAAACAAGUCUGAUCAUUCGGUGUUCUACAAACGAUCAGAAGUUGGCAUCAUUUUGUUAGUUGUAUAUGUGGAUGACAUUGUUAUUACCAGAAAUGAUACUAGCGGAAUCUCUUCUCUUAAAUCUUUCCUUCAUACUCAAUUUCACACGAAAGAUUUGGGGGUGUUAAAGUAUAUCUUAGGAGUUGAGGUCACUCAAAGUAAACAAGGUGUCUUUCUAUCUCAAAGAAAGUAUGUCCUUGACUUAUUGACUGAAACAGGAAAAUUAGGGGCAAAACCCUGUAGUGCUCCAAUGACUCCAAAUUUUCACUUACAGGAGAUGGGGAACCAUUUGAAGACCUUGAAAAGUAUCGAAGGUUGGUUGGGAAGUUAAAUUAUCUUAGUGUGACUCGUCCAGACAUUGCCUACUCAGUUAAUGUUGUAAGUCAGUUUAUGUCAUCCCCAACAAUUGAUCAUUGGGCAGCGUUAGAGCAGAUUUUGUGUUACUUGAAAGGAGCACCAGGACGCGGUAUUGUGUAUGCGAAUCACGGACACACUCAUAUUGGGUGUUUCUCAAAUGCAAAUUGGGCAGGUUCCAAAGUAGAUAGAAGAUUCACUUUAGGUUAUUGUAUUUUUGUUGGAGGGAAUCUGGUCUCAUGGAAGAGUAAAAAGCAAACCAUUGUGUCACGAUCUAGUGCAGAGUCGAAAUAUCGAGUUAUGGCACAGUCUGUGUGUGAGAUAAUGUGGAUAUAUUAAUUAUUGACUGAAGUAGGACUUAAAACUUCAGUACCUGCAAAAUUAUGGUGUGAUAACCAAGCUGCUCUUCAUAUUGCAACUAAUCCUGUGUUUCAUGAACGAACGAAGCACAUUGAAAUUGAUUGUCAUUUUGUUUGUGAGAAAAUUCAACAAGGCUUGAUUUCUACAGGAUAUAUGAAGACUGGAGAACAACUAGGGGACAUUUUUACAAAAGCUUUAAAUGGGGUUCGGGUUGACUAUUUUUAUAAUAAGCUGGGCAUGAUUAACAUUUAUGCUCCAGCUUGAGGGGGAGUGUUAUAGUGUGAAUAUUAGUUGUGUAAUAGUGUGCAUAUUAGCUGUUAAUUAGUUGACAAUUAGGAUUAAUUGGUUGAUUUAGUUUCCUAAAAUAACUUCUACUUCUCUAGUUGUGUAUAAAUAGAUGUUAUAUUUUCAAUGCAAUAAACAAUUUUCUUCAUAUAUCAUUACACUAUUUAAAUGGAUUGUUUUAAGCAGUUUUUGCAUCAUAAGAUUGGAAAUUUUUGUUGUUCUUUCUGUUCCUAAAGGUUAUAUUUUUUUGGACCCUGUGUUUUGUCCAAUUACUUAUUUGGACCUUGUGUUUUGACAAAUGACUUUUUGGACCUGUGUUUUGUAAAAGGUUUCAAAUAUAAUUCUAAAUCGAUUUUGAUCAAAGUUUUCUUAACUAAAAUUACAAAAAAUUCACCAAACUAACAAUUCAAAACAAAAACAAAAUCAUUGAUAUUAAGAGUCUAUUUGAACCAUUUUACAAAACAUUGGGUCCAAAAAAGAAUUUAUCAAAAUACAAUGUUUAAACAGGUGAUGGAACAAAAUGAGUGGUCUAAAAAUGUAUAAACCUUACUUUUAAUAUUGUAAAAUGAUAUAUACUUGUGUAUUCAUCUUACAAAAGUCGGAAAUGAUCGUGCUGCUACACCAUUUAGGGCACUUGGGUUGCAAAAAGACAAUAUUAAUAGUUUAAUAUCCUGAUAAAUGUUAUCAUAAACCAUCAAACCUACAUAUUAAUAUUCGUUUUACGAGAAUUGGUAAAACCAAGAAAGUAAUUACCAUGUCAAACCUUAUUAUUCUUGCUACUGUCAAGUUUUUUUUGCCACUGAUUCAUUUAUUUCCUGUUCUCCAGUUGAACCUUUGGGUGUCAAAUUAAAAUGAACCAGAUGGCCAUAUAUAAACUUAUUUGAUUGAACACUUUUGAUGAUGAAAUUUUUUCAAUGAACAUGAACUGCAUCUAUUUUGCUACAAUCAGUGUAUGCACACAAAGUCGAAGUUCAAGACUACAAGCUUCUCUGCCUUGCAAGAGUGGAAGUAAGAGAUCAAAAGUUCUCUCUUGUUGGAAUUCUUGGCGGUUGGUGGUCUUUACCUAGUCCAAGUCAAGGAGCUUAUUCUAUACUUAGACUCAUACAGAAACUAAAAGUACAACAGCUUGAACUAAGUGUUUAAUGCUUAAAUAUGCACAAUAAAAAUGAACCAAUUUUUUUUUAUCCA